Molecule: long non-coding RNA, 1727 nt
Organism: Dalotia coriaria
Lineage: Eukaryota; Metazoa; Arthropoda; Insecta; Coleoptera; Staphylinidae
Exons: 2
Source: RefSeq, a predicted model, not a curated record
AUCAGAUAAUACGUGAUCUAAUAAUGUACUAACGCGUAUAUAAUGCGUAUAUAAUUUGCUAUAUAUGUAAUUCUAAUUGGGAUAUUAUUAAGUUAUUGCCAUGCUCCAAUAUGAAUGGGAUCUGAGGCGGCAACAGCGGCCGAUGCAGCAGAUAAGGUCGUGUCCUUUGCGGCGGAUGCAUGUUUAUAAACAGUAGCUUCAGAUCGUUGAAGAGCUGCCAAUUUGGCAGCGGUGUUUUCUAUUCAGGAAAUUAUAAUUUUAAUAUUGACUUAACAAAGUGUUGAUUAUGAUAGGUCAGUGGUUAUUCGAACCUGAUUUUUGUAUUUCAUGCGCAGCGGCAUUGGCACUUCGGUGAAUGAUCUGCGCGGCGUGUGCUUCCUUGGAGGCUGCGAUGCGUUGGUGCUCAGCGACUUCGGCUUUAGCUUGAGCUAAACGUUGCUGAGCUAAGACCACUGAGGUGGCGGCGGCGUUUGCUUCUUGGCGUUGCACAGAAGCAGCAGCUUCGGCUUUCUGGGCUGUGAUGGCGGCUUGAGCUUCUUUUUGGCUUGCCAGGCGUUGUUGAUUCAGAACGGCUUCUUUCGCGAAUUGCACGCGUUGUUGGGCUUGUAAGACCUGGCUGGUUGCUUCCUUUGCGGCAGAGAUUGCGGAAGCUAUUUCAGCGGGAGACACUGGUGGAUAGGAGUUGACUUUGUGGAUCUAGUUUUAUAAAGAGAAAUUAUUUGGUAAUUUAUUACGGGUUUAGGUUAAAUUUUAACUUACGACGAUAGGUUUUGCCAAAAUGAUAGGUCCUUGAGCGAAACUAUUGGAUCCUUGGCCAAAUCCCUGAUCAAAAGCUGAUCCCAAGUCAUUGCCACCAAAGCCAUGGUUGUUUCCGAAACCACCGCCAUAGUUCCCGCCGAAACUGUUUCCAAAAUUGCCGAAAUUACCAUCCAGGAGUCCACGUUUACUGGGGACACCUCCAUUGACACCCAAGGCCACCAACACUAAACAAAUCUAUAAAAAUAAUUAGUAUUAGUGCAAUUUAAGAUAAACUAAUUUAAGUAAUUAAGUAAACUUACUAGUUUAAGGGCAAUCAUAUUACUUAGUAGAUGCUUCAACUUGUCAACAAGACAAAACAAUGAAUAAUCCCAAGAAUCCGAUGCUGCUUUUAUAGGUGAACAAAAUUGAUCCAAAUCUACAUCUUGCAAAGUGGGAUCUCUUUAAAAUUAUUAUCAUUAAGUUAAUUCAACUUCACCUAAUCAAGAGAAUGUGUCAGAAUAUGGCUGCUGCAUAUAACAAUUAUAUGCCCAACUUGGUCUUCAUUGUCUUCAGGUUUAACAAACUAUGUUAUUAUAUUAACAGUUGACAUAAUUACUUCCAGGUUUGGUAGGAUAAUUCACAACUCAAAAAAGUAGAUUCCGAGAUAAGUCACGACUGAUAUUUAAUUAAUGCAUUAUAAUUUAUUAUUAUUAAUAUUUCGUACUCUGAAAUCCUGAAAUGAGGAAGUGCUCAAUUAUAUUAUUUAAUUUUCACCCAAUAAAAAUUUAAGACAUCUUAAAGAAAGUGCAAGUACGAGUAAAAGUACUACAUUAUUUCUGUCGGGAUUUAAUUUCACGCUUGAUCGCCACAUUCAUAUACCACAGAUUAUGAAAUACUCUGAAAAAUAAUAUAAUAAGAUCUAAAGCAAAAUACAUUUAUUUUGAAACAACAUAAAACAUAAUAAAACAAUUAAAUUAAUUUAAAGAAAA